This 396-nucleotide unclassified non-coding RNA is filed under the name Hevea brasiliensis (rubber tree). The record is from RNAcentral. Lineage: Eukaryota; Viridiplantae; Streptophyta; Magnoliopsida; Malpighiales; Euphorbiaceae.
GCAAUGCAAUUUCUAUUUGUAGAUAAAAGAAAUUGCAUUGCAUGGCCCAUUGGGCAAGAACAUUACAAUAUUACCAUACAAAUUAUUAAACCCCUACCUAAUGAUAGAAGCCCAAAAAAGCUCAGCCCCAAAGCAACAAUCCUAAUUGAAGCUGAAAAACCUUGAGCAUAUGUCAACACAUAGCGGCCGCCGACCAGAACUAGGCAAGAGAAGGUCGCUUGAAGCCAAAUCAGGGAGAUCCUUCCUUCAAAGAAAACAAGAAAGUAGCCAAAGUAAGGAAAAUCAACCCAGCCAAGCAAGCACACCAUCUCUUCCAAACAAGAACCACAGGCUUAACACCGACGCCCUGAGAGAGGGAAAAGCAGGGCCAUGGCAGUCUCAUUUUCAUCAAGCCAU